Molecule: ribosomal RNA, 465 nt
Filed under: Vreelandella stevensii
Lineage: Bacteria; Pseudomonadati; Pseudomonadota; Gammaproteobacteria; Oceanospirillales; Halomonadaceae
Description: partial 16S ribosomal RNA
Rfam family: Bacterial small subunit ribosomal RNA
Source: RNAcentral
GCUACGGGUGGCAGCAGUGGGGAAUAUUGGACAAUGGGGGGAACCCUGAUCCAGCCAUGCCGCGUGUGUGAAGAAGGCCCUCGGGUUGUAAAGCACUUUCAGUGAGGAAGAACGCCUGGUGGUUAAUACCCAUCAGGAAAGACAUCACUCACAGAAGAAGCACCGGCUAACUCCGUGCCAGCAGCCGCGGUAAUACGGAGGGUGCGAGCGUUAAUCGGAAUUACUGGGCGUAAAGCGCGCGUAGGUGGCUUGAUAAGCCGGUUGUGAAAGCCCCGGGCUCAACCUGGGAACGGCAUCCGGAACUGGCCAGGUAGAGAGCAGGAGAGGAAGGUAAAAAUCCAGGAGUAGCGGUGAAAUGCGUAGAGAUCGGGAGGAAUACCAGUGGCGAAGGCGGCCUUCUGGACUGACACUGACACUGAGGUGCGGAAGCGUGGGUAGCAAACAGGAUUAGAUACCCUGGGAGUC